GGCUGAAAUUCGCCUUCAUGAAGCCGGAAUUGCUAGUAAUGGCAGGUCAGCAUACUGCCGUGAAUACGUUCCCGGGCCUUGUACACACCGCCCGUCACACCAUGAGAGUUGGGAAUACCCGAAGCCUGUGAGCUAACUUUUAGAGGCAGCAGUCGAAGGUAGAAUCAAUGAUUGGGGUGAAGUCGUAACAAGGUAUC
This 197-nucleotide ribosomal RNA is filed under the name uncultured bacterium. Its description in RNAcentral is "partial 16S ribosomal RNA". It matches the Rfam family "Bacterial small subunit ribosomal RNA", at positions 1303 to 1500 of the family's 1533-position model. The record is from RNAcentral.